Small nucleolar RNA from Arachis stenosperma, 155 nucleotides. RefSeq annotates it as small nucleolar RNA snoR145. The record is from RefSeq and is a predicted model, not a curated record. The transcript has a single exon. NCBI's taxonomy places the organism in Eukaryota, Viridiplantae, Streptophyta, Magnoliopsida, Fabales, Fabaceae.
AUGCGAAGAUCCCAGCAGAGGGGCGAGUAACUCUUCGUUAAUGAGGUCUCUCUAACUAUUACUAUCAGUAACCUUCGCAGAUUGAUUUGCCGAAUCGUAGGAUUGCCAAAAUGCUUCGUAUUUUUGGUGCAUCUGGAAAAUUCGGCUACAUCCAA